RNAcentral lists this long non-coding RNA (650 nucleotides) under Homo sapiens (human). Its description in RNAcentral is "non-protein coding lnc-FYTTD1-8:2". The record is from RNAcentral. Lineage: Eukaryota; Metazoa; Chordata; Mammalia; Primates; Hominidae.
AUCAGUAAGGAGCCUCCGACAGAAAUGUAGAGACGGAGUUUCUGCAUGUUGGUCAGGCUGGUCUCAAACUCCCAACCUCAGGUGAGCCGCCCACCUUGGCCUCCCAAAGUGCUGGGAUUACAGGCGUGAGCCGCCGCGCCUGGCCCCUCAAGCUGUUUCGUGGCUGCCAAUGCCAACUGGGAAAAAGACACAGUGGUAGAAAGAAUUAGAGAUGAGACGCAGACUUGAGAAUUCUUUUCAAAUUCAAGAGCAGUAGUUUGUCUCAGGAGAUGCUGGUCCUGUCUCACUGUGAGAAUCCCUAUCAUAGACCUUCCCGGGCAAAGCCCUUUCCCGGGUUCCUGUCUGAGGAGGGAGGUGAAGCCUCUUGGGUCCUCAAGCAGCGAUUCUUACCCUUUCCCUGCCUGGGUCACUGCCCAUCCACAGCUUCCCGGGGAGAACAGUGACGGGAACUAGCUGACCGCUCGGAGCCUCCAGGCCAGUCCCUUUCUGUGAAGACUCACAAGGCCUUACUCGUUGCGUAACAUCCCAAAGCCGUAGUUACGUCAUCUGUAAAAUGGAGAUAAAAAUCCCACUUCACAUGGUUGUUGGGGUGAUUAAAGGAGAUAAUAUAGGCCAGGCAUGGUGGCUCACACCUGUAAUCCCAGCACCUU